AGUGAACGCUGGCGGCAGGCCUAACACAUGCAAGUCGAGCGGCAGCGGGUCCCCGCGAGGGGAUGCCGGCGAGCGGCGGACGGGUGAGGAACACAUCGGAAUCUGCCUGGGUUGUGGGGGAUAACGUAGGGAAACUUACGCUAAUACCGCAUGCGACCCUGGAGUCGACGGACUGGGGGUGAAAGUGAGGGACCUUCGGGCCUCACGCGACCAGAUGAGCCGAUGUCGGA
Molecule: ribosomal RNA, 230 nt
Filed under: uncultured bacterium
Lineage: Bacteria
Description: partial 16S ribosomal RNA
Rfam family: Bacterial small subunit ribosomal RNA
Source: RNAcentral